RNAcentral lists this ribosomal RNA (253 nucleotides) under uncultured prokaryote. RNAcentral describes it as "partial 16S ribosomal RNA". It matches the Rfam family "Bacterial small subunit ribosomal RNA", at positions 525 to 777 of the family's 1533-position model. The record is from RNAcentral.
ACGGGGGGGGCAAGCGUUGUUCGGAAUUACUGGGCGUAAAGCGCGCGCAGGCGGUUGGUCGCAUCGGCGGUGAAAGCCCCCCGCUCAACGGGGGAGGGUCCGUCGCGAUGGGCCGACUGGAGGCAGGGAGAGGGCGGUGGAAUUCCGGGUGUAGUGGUGAAAUGCGUAGAGAUCCGGAGGAACACCAGUGGCGAAGGCGGCCGCCUGGACCUGACCUGACGCUGAGGCGCGAAGGCGCGGGGAGCGAACGGGA